This is a long non-coding RNA of Pocillopora verrucosa, 845 nucleotides long. RefSeq lists it as uncharacterized. The record is from RefSeq and is a predicted model, not a curated record. Lineage: Eukaryota; Metazoa; Cnidaria; Anthozoa; Scleractinia; Pocilloporidae.
UGGCGGCGAAGCUGUAGAUAGCCUGGUUAAAUGAUGGAAUGAAUUGCCCAUCCUGAAACUAAAACCGGAGCAAAAACGGAACCUUUAACCACACUUACCUUUCAGUAAAAUUUGGGUUCCUAUUUGAAAUUAUUUGAGGGGAAAAAAUGACUUCACAGUGGCUGAAAUAUUCUGGAAUGGAGACCGCGUGCGAUUUGAUAUCAGAUCAACUGUUAAAGGUGGGGUAACAAGUACAAUGUAUAGACUCAAGAAAUAAGUGGACUGAAAUAUUCAGCAAUGUUUUUGAUGGUGGUACUUUCUAAUUCAGGCUGGCACUGUUUUCUUUUAUGACCGAAGGAAAAAAGGAAUGUUUAGUGACGUCAACUACAAUUGAAAGUUAAAGAUGACAUGUGGAUGUUCUGCUGACAGUAUUAUGAAGAUGGUUUUACACCAAGGAAGCCCAAACAAGUCCUGAACACAGACGUUUGGAGAAAAAGGAAAGGAAUACGCUGUUUGUCACAACAGGGAAAGAUUGCAAGGAAACAAGAAAGAAAGGCCGAGAGAGUAUUAAUGUGGAAAGGAAGGAAACAUUGAAGGAUAUUUCACUUUCUCGACUUGUACUUUACGUUGAUAGCUUUGAUGUUGUUGUUUCUGGGACUCUAAUAUUGUAAUAAUACCGUGAAGCUGGUUAGUAGCUAAUUCUUACUAUCCGAGCUUCUGAAUAUGACAAAAUACAGGGAUGACUAGGGAUGAAGGAGACAAAUUGUACCCGUCCUCCAUCCCCCACCACACCCACCACUAUUUACCAGUUUUAAUAAGUAUUUGAAAAGUUCUCUACCUUGUGGUAAUAGCAUUCAUUUCAAACG